CAGAAGCAAUAUAAAUUUCCAUUUAAAAUUAGACUUGGAUUUAGAAGUGGUUUGCCAAAUCUUGUCAUAAAUUCUACAGCCAAUUUGAGUAAAUCAGUGCAGUGAUUAGUGGUCCGGUUCUCUUUUAUUUAUAAAUGCUUCCGUAAAUAGUUUAUUUAUAGACGAGCACCGAAUCAUUCAGCUAGCAACAUUGCCGCUUCCAAUCGCAUUUAUUGGGACGCUCUUCUGUGUUGCUGUAUUGCUGUAUUGCCGGAAUUUAUGCGUCAAUGCACCUGACGAAAAAAGUCGAACAUGUCGCACUUGAAGUGGCGAAAAAAGUGCGAGUAGUAAUAUAUGCAAAAGGCACACUGCACAUGGCAGUGGCACUCGUUUUAUUUACACGACAAGUGGCAAUUACAAAAAUCCGCCGGCAGUAAUUCUCAUUUCUCUGCACGUGGAGUGGCAUUAAAAUGUUGCCAUUUUUAUUCACAUUUGCCUCGACAACUCUUGGGAAUCAGUUGUACAGAUUAAUUCGAUUGUGUUCCCCUAAAUUCCAAAUUAUAUUCCCCAAUAAUUGGUUCGCUUUGAUUUCUGCUCAUUGAACAUGGCCUCGGCAUGCGUUUGAAGAUUUUUGGCCUCAGUCGUUGGGCAUAUCUCUUGGCCAACUCAGAUCAGCAGCAGAUGCAGCCGCUUUUAUUGCCUUAUUGAUGCAACUGUUUACAUGUGUAAUUAAGUUACCAGCCCACUGACCAUUGUUGUUAUUACCAUGGCCGAGAUUCGUAGGAUGCUGGACUUGGGGCUAUAGCACUCGGUUAUAUUUAUGCUGUUGCAGUAUUGUUGUCGGAAUUAAAUCGGCAAACAUGACACUCGAAAAAAUAAUAAAGCAAUCAGUUAAGCGCAGCAACUGUGCGGUUCGAGUGUGCGAGUGCAAUGAAAUUUUAUGAGCUUAUAGUGGUGCUAAGCAUUAAAUUAAAAUAUGCACCAAUGUUAACAAGCGCCUCGGUUGAUGUCUGUUGAUUGCGAUAAAGGCACGCUCGUAAAAGCUAUGUUACGCAUACGCCCUGUCAUGCAGAGACCUCAACGACAAACGACAAACGACAACGACGACGUCGCCAUUUUGCCUAGAUGUUGUCAAACAUGGCCAGACAAGGAGCGACGGGCAGAAACACCUCACUCAUUGGCCAAAACUAGUGGCUGGGAGCAGGGGAAGCAGAACACCUCACACCAGUGGUGAC
Molecule: long non-coding RNA, 1214 nt
Organism: Drosophila gunungcola (fruit fly)
Lineage: Eukaryota; Metazoa; Arthropoda; Insecta; Diptera; Drosophilidae
Exons: 3
Source: RefSeq, a predicted model, not a curated record